RNAcentral lists this ribosomal RNA (2788 nucleotides) under Escherichia coli. RNAcentral's name for it is "bacterial LSU rRNA". It matches the Rfam family "Bacterial large subunit ribosomal RNA". The record is from RNAcentral. Lineage: Bacteria; Pseudomonadati; Pseudomonadota; Gammaproteobacteria; Enterobacterales; Enterobacteriaceae.
AGCGUACACGGUGGAUGCCCUGGCAGUCAGAGGCGAUGAAGGACGUGCUAAUCUGCGAUAAGCGUCGGUAAGGUGAUAUGAACCGUUAUAACCGGCGAUUUCCGAAUGGGGAAACCCAGUGUGAUUCGUCACACUAUCAUUAACUGAAUCCAUAGGUUAAUGAGGCGAACCGGGGGAACUGAAACAUCUAAGUACCCCGAGGAAAAGAAAUCAACCGAGAUUCCCCCAGUAGCGGCGAGCGAACGGGGAGCAGCCCAGAGCCUGAAUCAGUGUGUGUGUUAGUGGAAGCGUCUGGAAAGGCGCGCGAUACAGGGUGACAGCCCCGUACACAAAAAUGCACAUGCUGUGAGCUCGAUGAGUAGGGCGGGACACGUGGUAUCCUGUCUGAAUAUGGGGGGACCAUCCUCCAAGGCUAAAUACUCCUGACUGACCGAUAGUGAACCAGUACCGUGAGGGAAAGGCGAAAAGAACCCCGGCGAGGGGAGUGAAAAAGAACCUGAAACCGUGUACGUACAAGCAGUGGGAGCACAGAGCAAUCUGUGUGACUGCGUACCUUUUGUAUAAUGGGUCAGCGACUUAUAUUCUGUAGCAAGGUUAACCGAAUAGGGGAGCCGAAGGGAAACCGAGUCUUAACUGGGCGUUAAGUUGCAGGGUAUAGACCCGAAACCCGGUGAUCUAGCCAUGGGCAGGUUGAAGGUUGGGUAACACUAACUGGAGGACCGAACCGACUAAUGUUGAAAAAUUAGCGGAUGACUUGUGGCUGGGGGUGAAAGGCCAAUCAAACCGGGAGAUAGCUGGUUCUCCCCGAAAGCUAUUUAGGUAGCGCCUCGUGAAUUCAUCUCCGGGGGUAGAGCACUGUUUCGGCAAGGGGGUCAUCCCGACUUACCAACCCGAUGCAAACUGCGAAUACCGGAGAAUGUUAUCACGGGAGACACACGGCGGGUGCUAACGUCCGUCGUGAAGAGGGAAACAACCCAGACCGCCAGCUAAGGUCCCAAAGUCAUGGUUAAGUGGGAAACGAUGUGGGAAGGCCCAGACAGCCAGGAUGUUGGCUUAGAAGCAGCCAUCAUUUAAAGAAAGCGUAAUAGCUCACUGGUCGAGUCGGCCUGCGCGGAAGAUGUAACGGGGCUAAACCAUGCACCGAAGCUGCGGCAGCGACACUAUGUGUUGUUGGGUAGGGGAGCGUUCUGUAAGCCUGUGAAGGUGUACUGUGAGGUAUGCUGGAGGUAUCAGAAGUGCGAAUGCUGACAUAAGUAACGAUAAAGCGGGUGAAAAGCCCGCUCGCCGGAAGACCAAGGGUUCCUGUCCAACGUUAAUCGGGGCAGGGUGAGUCGACCCCUAAGGCGAGGCCGAAAGGCGUAGUCGAUGGGAAACAGGUUAAUAUUCCUGUACUUGGUGUUACUGCGAAGGGGGGACGGAGAAGGCUAUGUUGGCCGGGCGACGGUUGUCCCGGUUUAAGCGUGUAGGCUGGUUUUCCAGGCAAAUCCGGAAAAUCAAGGCUGAGGCGUGAUGACGAGGCACUACGGUGCUGAAGCAACAAAUGCCCUGCUUCCAGGAAAAGCCUCUAAGCAUCAGGUAACAUCAAAUCGUACCCCAAACCGACACAGGUGGUCAGGUAGAGAAUACCAAGGCGCUUGAGAGAACUCGGGUGAAGGAACUAGGCAAAAUGGUGCCGUAACUUCGGGAGAAGGCACGCUGAUAUGUAGGUGAAGUCCCUCGCGGAUGGAGCUGAAAUCAGUCGAAGAUACCAGCUGGCUGCAACUGUUUAUUAAAAACACAGCACUGUGCAAACACGAAAGUGGACGUAUACGGUGUGACGCCUGCCCGGUGCCGGAAGGUUAAUUGAUGGGGUCAGCGCAAGCGAAGCUCUUGAUCGAAGCCCCGGUAAACGGCGGCCGUAACUAUAACGGUCCUAAGGUAGCGAAAUUCCUUGUCGGGUAAGUUCCGACCUGCACGAAUGGCGUAAUGAUGGCCAGGCUGUCUCCACCCGAGACUCAGUGAAAUUGAACUCGCUGUGAAGAUGCAGUGUACCCGCGGCAAGACGGAAAGACCCCGUGAACCUUUACUAUAGCUUGACACUGAACAUUGAGCCUUGAUGUGUAGGAUAGGUGGGAGGCUUUGAAGUGUGGACGCCAGUCUGCAUGGAGCCGACCUUGAAAUACCACCCUUUAAUGUUUGAUGUUCUAACGUUGACCCGUGAUCCGGGUUGCGGACAGUGUCUGGUGGGUAGUUUGACUGGGGCGGUCUCCUCCUAAAGAGUAACGGAGGAGCACGAAGGUUGGCUAAUCCUGGUCGGACAUCAGGAGGUUAGUGCAAUGGCAUAAGCCAGCUUGACUGCGAGCGUGACGGCGCGAGCAGGUGCGAAAGCAGGUCAUAGUGAUCCGGUGGUUCUGAAUGGAAGGGCCAUCGCUCAACGGAUAAAAGGUACUCCGGGGAUAACAGGCUGAUACCGCCCAAGAGUUCAUAUCGACGGCGGUGUUUGGCACCUCGAUGUCGGCUCAUCACAUCCUGGGGCUGAAGUAGGUCCCAAGGGUAUGGCUGUUCGCCAUUUAAAGUGGUACGCGAGCUGGGUUUAGAACGUCGUGAGACAGUUCGGUCCCUAUCUGCCGUGGGCGCUGGAGAACUGAGGGGGGCUGCUCCUAGUACGAGAGGACCGGAGUGGACGCAUCACUGGUGUUCGGGUUGUCAUGCCAAUGGCACUGCCCGGUAGCUAAAUGCGGAAGAGAUAAGUGCUGAAAGCAUCUAAGCACGAAACUUGCCCCGAGAUGAGUUCUCCCUGACUCCUUGA